UUGUCCUAGUUACCAGCACGUUAUGGUGGGCACUCUAAGGAGACUGCCGGUGACAAACCGGAGGAAGGUGGGGAUGACGUCAAGUCAUCAUGGCCCUUACGGCCUGGGCUACACACGUGCUACAAUGGUCGGUACAAAGGGUUGCCAAGCCGCGAGGUGGAGCUAAUCCCAUAAAAACCGAUCGUAGUCCGGAUCGCAGUCUGCAACUCGACUGCGUGAAGUCGGAAUCGCUAGUAAUCGUGAAAUCAGAAUGUCACGGUGAAUACGUUCCCGGGCCUU
Molecule: ribosomal RNA, 279 nt
Filed under: uncultured Pseudomonas sp.
Lineage: Bacteria; Pseudomonadati; Pseudomonadota; Gammaproteobacteria; Pseudomonadales; Pseudomonadaceae
Description: partial 16S ribosomal RNA
Rfam family: Bacterial small subunit ribosomal RNA
Source: RNAcentral